GAAAUGCGAUAAGUAGUGUGAAUUGCAGAAUUCAGUGAAUCAUCGAAUCUUUGAACGCACAUUGCGCCCCUUGGUAUUCCAUGGGGCAUGCCUGUUCGAGCGUCAUUUGUACCUUCAAGCUUUGCUUGGUGUUGGGUGUUUGUCUCGCCUCUGCGUGUAGACUCGCCUCAAAACAAUUGGCAGCCGGCGUAUUGAUUUCGGAGCGCAGUACAUCUCGCGCUUUGCACUCAUAACGACGACGACCAAAAGUACAUUUUUACACUCUUGACCUCGGAUCAGGUAGGGAUACCCGCUGAACUUAAGC
RNAcentral lists this unclassified non-coding RNA (304 nucleotides) under plant metagenome. Its description in RNAcentral is "partial contains 5.8S ribosomal RNA, internal transcribed spacer 2, and large subunit ribosomal RNA". The stretch from base 1 to 105 matches the Rfam family "5.8S ribosomal RNA", at positions 50 to 154 of the family's 154-position model. The record is from RNAcentral.